Molecule: long non-coding RNA, 1809 nt
Filed under: Mus musculus (house mouse)
Lineage: Eukaryota; Metazoa; Chordata; Mammalia; Rodentia; Muridae
Description: long non-coding RNA chr14:21190589-21192398
Source: RNAcentral
ACUCAGUGAACAGAGAGAGAUAAGUGGAGUGAGCAGGGCCAACCCGAGCAAGCAGAGGUCCUAAAAAAAAAUUCAAUUCCCAACAACCACAUGAAGGCUCACAACCAUCUGUACAGCUAUAGUGUAUGCACAUUAAAUAAAUAGAUAGAUAAAUAAAUAAAUAAAAUGUAAAAAAAAUAAAUAAAAAGAAAAAAACCCUCUUGAGGCCUGGUAUACAGUUCAAAGAUGGAGUACUAGCUUGUCAGGUGUGAAUCCGUACAUUUAAUUUCCUGCUCCUGAAAGAAAUGUUCAUUUAUAAUAAGCUGUAUACUUGCUUUACCUAUAAGUACGUCUCAGCUGCCAUUACCAUGCUUUACACAUAAUGUAGAAGAACGUUCUAAGUGAAAUUUAGAAUUGGGCAAACGCUUUCUUUACUUUUACUAAUGGUAAGCAUUGGCUAAGAGAUGCAUACAGCUAUGAGGAUACUAACAUCGCUUGUCUUUUAGUUCAGGCUUCAGUCAGACAGUUUUUAUCACCAGUAUUUUAACAGCACAAUACAGAGAAUUGCAUUGUGAUGGGUAGACUCUAAAAAGGUAAAUUUAUGAGCAGUUUUCUGACCUCAUAAAUUUAUUGCCACCUGGUCCCUUCUGAGGCCAUUAUAAUUAUUAAUGGAAGUAUUUUAAGCAUUUUUUAAAAAGCAUGGUUUAUGUAUGGUAGAAACUAAAAGUUCCCAAUAGCUGAACCAUAUGUAGUUUUCUUGGAGUCAGUCAGUCAACGGAAAGGAACAGAAGGCCGUAUUGAAGAGACUCCUGAGUCGUGGUGUGAUUUGUCUCUCUCUUGUCAGCGUCCAUUCAUAUUGAGUAGAACAUUGCUUAGCCAUGAAAGCCAAAGGUGGAGAAAAUUCACUGUCUUCAUGGGAUGUACUGUUUGUCUUCAUAGCUGUGCGGUGUACAGUGACAUCAAAUACAUUUAAGAAUAAAUCUCAGAAACAAAAGAAAGAAUAUAUGUCAUAUUUCGAAGGCUUAAAAGUGAUGAUAGACCUGUUUAAGUUAAUUGUAGAGCCAGAUGAUGGUGUAAUGCGAAUCAGUGAUUUUAAAUAAUUUUAAGUGCAAGAUGGAGUCUUUUCUUUCACUCCUAAAAAGUUGAAGUCGUUUAUAAUGUUUCUCAAGCUCAGAUGUUUUUAUAAUAAGAAUAUUAUAAAAGCAAGGUUCAUUUUCCUCCAGAUUUACAUUCUGAGUUAGCUGGUAAAGAGUCUAUUAAAAAUGAGAUGACAAAUUGAAAAAAUUGAAGUCUUCCAUUUCAGUCAGCUGUUCUAAAAGAAAAAUGCCUAGUGAUCUGGGAAAAUAAAGGAAGUUUAAAUUUGUGAUUGAGAGUAAGAAAUGUUUCUGUGGUUUUGAAAAAGAAAUACCAGCAUGUCACAUUAAAAUUAUGGCAUCUACAGUUCUGUACAGUUAACAGAAAAACGUAUUACAUCAGGGAAUAGGAUGUGCUUCAGAGACCUCAUGUAGGGCCAUGAGAGAAAAGCAAGUGCCAUCACCGGCUUGCGCAUUAAUAAUCCAGUCAGCGGAAGAAUUUUCCUGUCUCCCAUGUAACAUAAACCAGAUGUUCCAUUCUAUUAAAACUCCUUACUAAUGCGGAUAUUUAGAUCACUGGUCACUAGGAAAAAAAUGAGUAAUAGCAAUCUAGUACUUUUGCCAGUUUGUCCUGUUGUGAGAUAAUGUUGGCAGUCAGGAGACUAGAAGGUUUCCUGCCAAAUACGACUAAAUCUCAUCACUCUGUUUUUAUCUGUUGUGUUUUGUAAAUUUGAUCUAUUUUCUUUUAAAAAAAAGC